RNAcentral lists this ribosomal RNA (253 nucleotides) under uncultured bacterium. RNAcentral's name for it is "partial 16S ribosomal RNA". It matches the Rfam family "Bacterial small subunit ribosomal RNA", at positions 524 to 776 of the family's 1533-position model. The record is from RNAcentral.
UACGGAGGGUGCAAGCGUUGUCCGGAAUCACUGGGCGUAAAGGGCGCGUAGGCGGCUCAUGAAGGCUGUGGUGAAAGCCCGGGGCUCAACCUCGGAACGGCAUUCGAUACGGGACGGCUGGAGACCGGGAGAGGAGAGUGGAAUAGCCAGUGUAGAGGUGAAAUUCGUAGAUAUUGGCUGGAACACCGGUGGCGAAAGCGGCUCUCUGGCCCGGUUCUGACGCUGAGGCGCGAAAGCGUGGGGAGCAAACAGG